Long non-coding RNA from Dicentrarchus labrax (European seabass), 5196 nucleotides. RefSeq lists it as uncharacterized. Lineage: Eukaryota; Metazoa; Chordata; Actinopteri; Moronidae. The transcript has 2 exons. The record is from RefSeq and is a predicted model, not a curated record.
CGGGGAGGCAGCAGCAGCCGCAGCGGCGCAAUAAAGAGACGAGGCUGGAAAAGACAAACCCAGAUGCUGCGUGGAGGAAAAAAAAGAGGAAACCAGAUGAAGGGUGAUGAAUGAAUUUUUGAGAGAAAAAUCAGAGAGAAGCAAAGCGAUGUGUUGACAGCGUGGAGAAAUUGAAUUAGCAGCUGCAGCGCCGGGAACAUUGGAUCACAUUAGGAGCGCAGCAGAGGAGCAGAGGCUACCUGCAGGGCCGGAGGGAGAGCCUCCUCUCUCCUCUGUCAUUGUCUCACACAGCACAGCACAAAUACUGCAGCAUCCACUCCUGGAUAUAUUCACAAACUCCUCAUCAAAGCCAGGAAAAAGUCUCAGUUUCGAUUGGUUUUCGAGUUGGUUUAAAAUGCCACAUUUUACUGUUACUCCCGAACAAACCGGUCGAACAAGACAGCAGCUGUAAUUUAAAACCUGAGAUUAUUCCACAAGACGAAAUUUAAGUGAAGUUUCAACAAGUUUCAAAUUAUUUCGCGAUUAAAGAUGAUAAAAAAAUAAUAAUAAGGGUACGAAUCAUAACUAAUGCUUGACUCAUGAUGAUUUCUGUUUCCUCUGAUAAGUUCACACUUAACAGAUCAUCAGUUAAACAAUGUUAAUUCAUACAUGAAUUGAUAGGCGAGCAAAUUGAUUCCAGUUGUAUAAAAGUGUAUUGCAGGACCAUGCAUUUGCUGCACAGCCUCUCUAAUAAAAAUAAUAAUAACUUCACAUUCCAAUGGUAUUUUUGACACAUUUACAACAUAAUGGAUAAAUUAGAGGAGAAUGUUAAAAUUGGUACCCACAGGGCAGACUGGGUGGAGUUUAAGGACUCUAUGUGAAGACGGUGUGAUGGUAAAAGCAGUGUGCGAACUAGAUCAUGGCUUUUAGGGGAGCUUACUUGUUUUUGUUUGUUUGUUUGGGGUUUUUUUUUGCAAUAGAUGCAAGCACAUUUGAUAUUUAAUAGUGAGUUAAUGACAUAUACAUCAAUAAUAGCCUACUUUUACACAUAAUCCACAGGUACAGGAAAAUAGAAAUGCAUGGCAAAAAUAGCAUUUUAGUAUGUUGUAUUAGUAUUGUCGGAGACCCCCCCAAAAUUUCGCAAAUGGUGUUUUUAGGGGAGCUCAUGUCUUAUUAAGCUCUUAAGCUCUCCCUGCAGUUCGCACCCUGGGUAAAACAUGCAGGAAUCAUCCGGGGGAAGUCUCUCUCUCUCUCUCUCUCUCUCUCUCACACACACACACACACACACACACAGUGAAUACUGAGCUGCAUAGAAAAUGAAACACAGUGUGUGGUGUAUGGAGUUUAGCUGUAAAGUGUGUUUUGUGUUUUGGGAUUUUAUUUCAACUAAUAUUAUUAAUCUUGGAUCCUCAUUUCCACAAAUUUCCAAGAAUAUUCUCACCAAGAUUAGGACAUACAGUAAAUAGAUGUCAAUCUCCCUUAAAUUAUCCCUUAUUUUCCAAGCAUGUUUAACCUCAAUUUACUGGACAAAAAAGACCUGUAUCUGGAAAGAUCCAAUGGUAUCCACGUUUAUGGAAAUCCAGAUCUGUAUAUCAUAUCAAAUGAAUAAAAAACCUGUCAAAGAUCCAUGUCUGUAAUAUUCUGGAUAGGACAGUAUCUGUCCAUAUCCAAACGUAUCACCACCUUGGAUACAACCGUAUUUUUGUACAUUUAUUCCAGUGACUGCUCUUAAUAAAACAAACACACGCGCACACACAAAACCUGUGUCAAAAAUACCUUUGGCUUUAUUCUCACAGAAAUAUGAAGUUAUUGUUUUUUUUAUCAGAGGCUGAGACCAUGUAAAAAACUUUUAUGCAAGAGGAAUCCAUAAAUGUAUUUCAUGUAUGAAUUAACAUCCUUUACCUGAUGAACUAAUCACAAAGUCAUAGUGACUUAAUAAUUUGGAAUCCAUGAUACAUGCAUUACUUAAAGAUAAUGAUUUGUACUGUUAUUGUACUGUACAAUUUAAUUAAUUGUGGCUUUAAGAUGCUGCUAAAAUUUAUAAAACACCUGCCAAUGUGCUGUCAUGCUGUCAUAUAAUGUAGCUAUUGGUCAGUAAGUGCGUUAAAUAGAGAUAAUGCAAAUGGCCACUUUACCCUCAAAACAGUCAGCUGUCACAUAUUUUCUAUCAUUAUAUUCAUUAAAUGAGUUGUGGCCUGGGUCAGGUAAGUGUUUCCUCUUGUGCACAGGUAAGUGUGCAUUUGCCUGUUGUGAAAUCAUCAGCCUAUGACAGAGCGGACUCUGAUUCAUGUGUUUUUUGAAGGAUAAAAUAUGGCAGAUGAAACUGAAGCUGAACCAGAAAAAAAAAAAGAUCCCGCUCAUGUUCCCUGAUUCACAUCUAAUCUGCAUCAGACCUGACAGCAGCACACUGAGCUCAGAUCAGCCAGCACAUCUCCGCCUUUGUCUCGGACACCUUACACUGUGCAGGUCCUGACACACUGAUGGUGAGUUUUAGUGGUAGCCUGACAAAGCUGUCUCUGUGCCAGCAGCAGCGCUCCAAAUGUGGACCUCCAGGGGCCCCGGAAGGCGCCUGGAGGAGGUGUAGGAAACUUUCAGCAUCAUUUUAUCCUUCAAAUAUUACAGUCUGAAAAUGAACCAGAGUUGAUGGUUGUAAAAUUUAACAAUAACUCAAAGAUGAAACUCUUCCUUUACAGUUAGAAUUUGAGCUGUCUGCAGUCUAAUGGGGGAUUUAGUUAAACAAUCUAUGACAUGGCCCUAAAAAUGGCUUUGGGCCUUCAUCCAGCAGCUUUUUAGGACCUUUUUGAAUUAGACUGUCAUUAUUCUAAAUGAUACCAGUGACCCCAGCUUUCUAAAAAAAAAUCUUUAUUAUUUGUUUCACUCAAAAUGAACCAGAGAAAGUGUCAUUGCAGUCACCUCAUGUGUACAGUUCAAUAUUCACCAUGAAACCUUUAACGACUAAAUCUGAAUAAAUGUGUUUGAGAUCCAGGCCGUGCAAACCAAACCGAGACCCACAGGGCAGACAGACGAUUCAAUGGGAAGACGGUGUGAUGGUAAAACAUUCAGGGAUCAUCCAGGGUAGGUCUCACACACGGUGCAUACUGAGCUGCAGAGAAAAAUUAAAAUGUAUGGGAUUUGGCUGUAAAGUGAUGAGUUCUUGUAUUUUGGUCACUUUUCCAGUUUAUUAAUUUUGCUGUUUGUCUAUUGUGGUUUUUAAAAUUUUGUGCAACCGAUGUUACUAAUUUUGGAGUGCUCAUUUCCAAUAAUUUCCAAUAAUUUGAAAGUGUUUUGAAUCACCAUUUUACCUACUCACCAUUAGGUAAUACAGUAAAUAAAUGCCAGUCUCUUUUUAAUGUUGCAUUUUAGAGGCCAUCUCUGAUCCAUCUAAAGAGAAUUUUCUUAUGACUCAAAUUCUAAAUCAAAUUUCAACCAGGUAGCCUAACUUAUUCUGCAUAUGUUUGUGUGUUCUCAUGAACCUCACCACACAACUGUUUAUUGAAACAAAUAGUGAAUGAGUGAAAAUGUGUAGAGAUUUGUAAGCUAUAAUGUUCCCAUGUAGGCCAAUCUACCGUAAUAUCUACAAUAAAAUGCCAAAAUGUAUGCUUAACAUUUACUUUAUUCUGUAAAAAUAUUUACAGAAGGAUAUUUGAUGAUUUUUUAAUUGGAUGAUUUCUGAUAACUGACCUGUGUAGACUUUAAUGGUUAAAGCUACACUGCAAAUAAAUAAUGACAUGUCAGAUUUAGUCAGGAGACAUGUGUGAGACAACAUUUAUGUUUUUAACUUUUUCUCAAACAGUCUUCACAAUGGGUGUCAGCUCAGUAUUGUCAUAACCAAAAGUAGCAAUUUGGAAACGAGGAAGCCAAAGUGCUGCAGGGAUGUUCCUGCUCAUUUGCAUUUGGAUGUGUUUGGCUGGUCUCAGCAGAAAGAGAGUGGCCUCAGAUCUGACUGUGUGGAUAAGAUUAGCAUGCAGCAUCAACUGUUGGCACUCGCAACAACAAAUGAAUGUAAUCCCUCAGGUCCACAAUCUUUCUGCUGGUUGCUUCUGAGAAAUGAUGCUAGCAGGAGGUCCAGAAAGUUCUAUCUAAAGUCACUGCACUGGAAACAAUGGAUGAUAAAGCUUCACUGUGUUAGCCUGAAACUCAACAAUGUUACAAAUAUGAACCUGGUUAGCUUGCUAUACUGAGUUAAUAACAAAUAAUUAUUUAUCAAACACAAUCUUUAUUAGGAUUUAAGUAGCAUUCUCACUGACACUAGCAGGCUAAAUUGUUUAUCUUUUAGCAUAUUGGGCUAAAUGCUAAAGAGAGUGCUGUCAACAUAGUCACCGCUAACUGCUAGCAUCACUGUAGUGUUAGCAUGCUUUAUUCCGCUCAGAUAUGUUUCCAGUUCAAAUGUUGCUCGCUAACCAAGCUAAUGCUAACGUUUUGAAGUGAAGCCAGUGGUGUUACUAUCACAUCCUGUUUCAGUUGGUCUGAAGCGUUCAGUGUCUCCACUGGUGCACGGUGUACACAGGUAUAUGGAGUAUAACCACUUAUAUUUCAGUUUUGCCGAUUGAUUUUUCCCCCUAGGAUGGUAAAGGCAUGGCAAUACAUGAUUGGCUGGAGUAUAGAAUAAGGAAUUAUGUAGCUGUCUCACUUUAUAGUGUGUGUGCCAGUAUUGAUGCUUACUGCCGGAGGUAAAGCAGCAGCAUUUAAGUGACAGUGUGCAAAUACUACUGGCCCAUUUUUGGUGAGCUAAAUAGGCAAGAGUAGGGCAUUUACCCUUUGCUGGAUGGGGCAUUAAUAAACAGUAUACCCAUUUCUUCAGCCACCACUCCACUACUGAGUUUCUCAAGCUGGGACUCAACACCAACAGCUUCCUCCUAGCAGGACGUUGAGGACCUGGAGACUUUAGAGUUUGCUCCAUUUACACCCAGAGUGACUUUAAUCAGUGAGUUGUGCUAACUUUUAACAGGACACACAAUGUUUUGCGCUAGAAUACAGUCCUGCGACGUUUAAAGCUCGCUAUUUUAGAAUUUCUUCUCAAAAUGAAUACACAACUAAGUGCACAAAUCUGUUUCACACUGACAUGAUGUGUCGGUUCUUGUUAAAUACAAACCGUUUUGUUGUUUAUCAUAUAUUUCUUUAAAUGCUUCAAAAGUGGCUCUGAUGAAUUAGAAUUUGUGUGAAUAAUAAAUGUUUGUAAUGAAAUGUUGGAAUCAAAUAAAAAGUUUCAAGUAAAAA